This 2641-nucleotide ribosomal RNA is filed under the name Streptococcus pneumoniae. RNAcentral describes it as "bacterial LSU rRNA". It matches the Rfam family "Bacterial large subunit ribosomal RNA". The record is from RNAcentral. Lineage: Bacteria; Bacillati; Bacillota; Bacilli; Lactobacillales; Streptococcaceae.
GGGCAAACCGAAGAGUUUACUCUUCGGGGUUGUAGGACUGCAAUGUGGACUCAAAGAUUAUAGAAGAAUGAUUUGGGAAGAUCAGCCAAAGAGAGUAAUAGCCUCGUAUUUAAAAUAGUCUUUGUACUUAGCAGUAUCCUGAGUACGGCGGGACACGUGAAAUCCCGUCGGAAUCUGGGAGGACCAUCUCCCAACCCUAAAUACUCCCUAGUGACCGAUAGUGAACCAGUACCGUGAGGGAAAGGUGAAAAGCACCCCGGGAGGGGAGUGAAAUAGAACCUGAAACCGUGUGCCUACAACAAGUUCGAGCCCGUUAAUGGGUGAGAGCGUGCCUUUUGUAGAAUGAACCGGCGAGUUACGUUAUGAUGCGAGGUUAAGUUGAAGAGACGGAGCCGUAGGGAAACCGAGUCUGAAUAGGGCGCCUUAGUAUCAUGACGUAGACCCGAAACCAUGUGACCUACCCAUGAGCAGGUUGAAGGUGCGGUAAGACGCACUGGAGGACCGAACCAGGGCACGUUGAAAAGUGCUUGGAUGACUUGUGGGUAGCGGAGAAAUUCCAAACGAACUUGGAGAUAGCUGGUUCUCUCCGAAAUAGCUUUAGGGCUAGCGUCGACAUUAGAGAUUCUUGGAGGUAGAGCACUGUUUGGGUGAGGGGUCCAUCCCGGAUUACCAAUCUCAGAUAAACUCCGAAUGCCAAUGAAUUAUGGUCGGCAGUCAGACUGCGAGUGCUAAGAUCCGUAGUCGAAAGGGAAACAGCCCAGACCACCAGCUAAGGUCCCAAAAUAAUUGUUAAGUGGAAAAGGAUGUGGGGUUGCACAGACAACUAGGAUGUUAGCUUAGAAGCAGCUAUUCAUUCAAAGAGUGCGUAAUAGCUCACUAGUCGAGUGACCCUGCGCCGAAAAUGUACCGGGGCUAAAACAAUUUACCGAAGCUGUGGAUACCUUUAUAGGUAUGGUAGGAGAGCGUUCUAUGUGUGAUGAAGGUAUACCGUGAGGAGUGCUGGAACGCAUAGAAGUGAGAAUGCCGGUAUGAGUAGCGAAAGACAGGUGAGAAUCCUGUCCACCGUAAGACUAAGGUUUCCAGGGGAAGGCUCGUCCGCCCUGGGUUAGUCGGGACCUAAGGAGAGACCGAAAGGUGUAUCCGAUGGACAACAGGUUGAUAUUCCUGUACUAGAGUAUGUAGUGAUGGAGGGACGCAGUAGGCUAACUAAAGCAGACGAUUGGAAGAGUCUGUCUAAGCAGUGAGGUGUGAAUUGAGUCAAAUGCUUAAUUCUAUAACAUUGAGCUGUGAUGGGGAGCGAAGUUUAGUAGCGAAGUUAGUGACGUCACACUGCCAAGAAAAGCUUCUAGCGUUUAACCAUACUCUACCCGUACCGCAAACCGACACAGGUAGUCGAGGCGAGUAGCCUCAGGUGAGCGAGAGAACUCUCGUUAAGGAACUCGGCAAAAUGACCCCGUAACUUCGGGAGAAGGGGUGCUGACUUUAAGUCAGCCGCAGUGAAUAGGCCCAAGCAACUGUUUAUCAAAAACACAGCUCUCUGCUAAAUCGUAAGAUGAUGUAUAGGGGGUGACGCCUGCCCGGUGCUGGAAGGUUAAGAGGAGUGCUUAGCGUAAGCGAAGGUAUGAAUUGAAGCCCCAGUAAACGGCGGCCGUAACUAUAACGGUCCUAAGGUAGCGAAAUUCCUUGUCGGGUAAGUUCCGACCCGCACGAAAGGCGUAAUGAUUUGGGCACUGUCUCAACGAGAGACUCGGUGAAAUUUUAGUACCUGUGAAGAUGCAGGUUACCCGCGACAGGACGGAAAGACCCCAUGGAGCUUUACUGCAGUUUGAUAUUGAGUGUCUGUACCACAUGUACAGGAUAGGUAGGAGUCUAAGAGAUCGGGACGCCAGUUUCGAAGGAGACGCUGUUGGGAUACUACCCUUGUGUUAUGGCCACUCUAACCCAGAUAGGUGAUCCCUAUCGGAGACAGUGUCUGACGGGCAGUUUGACUGGGGCGGUCGCCUCCUAAAAGGUAACGGAGGCGCCCAAAGGUUCCCUCAGAAUGGUUGGAAAUCAUUCGCAGAGUGUAAAGGUAUAAGGGAGCUUGACUGCGAGAGCUACAACUCGAGCAGGGACGAAAGUCGGGCUUAGUGAUCCGGUGGUUCCGUAUGGAAGGGCCAUCGCUCAACGGAUAAAAGCUACCCUGGGGAUAACAGGCUUAUCUCCCCCAAGAGUUCACAUCGACGGGGAGGUUUGGCACCUCGAUGUCGGCUCGUCGCAUCCUGGGGCUGUAGUCGGUCCCAAGGGUUGGGCUGUUCGCCCAUUAAAGCGGCACGCGAGCUGGGUUCAGAACGUCGUGAGACAGUUCGGUCCCUAUCCGUCGCGGGCGUAGGAAAUUUGAGAGGAUCUGCUCCUAGUACGAGAGGACCAGAGUGGACUUACCGCUGGUGUACCAGUUGUCUUGCCAAAGGCAUCGCUGGGUAGCUAUGUAGGGAAGGGAUAAACGCUGAAAGCAUCUAAGUGUGAAACCCACCUCAAGAUGAGAUUUCCCAUGAUUAUAUAUCAGUAAGAGCCCUGAGAGAUGAUCAGGUAGAUAGGUUAGAAGUGGAAGUGUGGCGACACAUGUAGCGGACUAAUACUAAUAGCUCGAGGACUUAUCCAA